This 1202-nucleotide unclassified non-coding RNA is filed under the name Hevea brasiliensis (rubber tree). Lineage: Eukaryota; Viridiplantae; Streptophyta; Magnoliopsida; Malpighiales; Euphorbiaceae. The record is from RNAcentral.
UUUUGGUAAUGUUGCUUUUGUUUCUCAAUUUGAACCCAAAACAUAUGAUGAUGCUCAAAAUGAUGAAAAUUGGCUUUUUGCUAUGCAAGAGGAAUUAAAUCAGUUUGAAAGAAACAAAGUUUGGACACUUGUUCCUAAACCUAAAAAGCACACUGUUAUUGGAACUAAAUGGGUAUUUAGGAAUAAGAUGGAUGAAAAAGGACAUGUAGUUAGAAAUAAAGCUAGACUAGUAGCUCAAGGAUACAACCAAGAGGAAGGUAUUGAUUUUGAUGAAACCUUUGCCCCGGUUGCUAGAAUAGAAGCUAUUAGAAUGUUGUGUGCAUUUGCUUGUUUUAAGAAUUUCAUGCUUUAUCAAAUGGAUGUUAAAAGUGCAUUUUUAAAUGGAUAUAUUGAUGAAGAAGUUUAUGUAGCUCAACCUCCUGGUUUUGAAGACCCUCACUUUCCAAAUCAUGUUUACAAGUUUACUAAAGCUCUCUAUGGUUUAAAGCAAGCUCCUAGAGCAUGGUAUAAGAGACUUAGUAAAUUCUUGCUUCAAAAUGAUUUUAAAAGAGGAAAAGUGGAUACUACUCUUUUCAUUAAGAAAAUUGGAAAAGAUAUGCUUAUUGUGCAAAUUUAUGUAGAUGAUAUUAUUUUUGGUGCUACUAACCAUUCUCUUUGUAAGAAAUUUUCCAACAUGAUGAAAAGUGAAUUUGAAAUGAGUAUGAUGGGUGAACUUACUUUCUUUCUUGGAUUGCAAAUUAAGCAAAUGAAAGAUGGAAUUUUUAUAAAUCAGUCCAAGUACAUAAAGGAUAUGCUAAAGAAGUUCAAAAUGGAGGAUAUGAAAAGUGUUGGAACUCCCAUGAGCUCAACAAUUAAAUUGGAGAAAGAUGAAAAAGGUAAAGAGGUAGAUAACAAAUUUUAUAGAGGUAUGAUUGGUUCUUUACUCUACUUGACAGCAUCUAGACCAGAUAUUCAUUUUAGUGUGUGUUUAUGUGCAAGAUUUCAGUCAUGUCCAAAAGAAUCUCAUCUUGUAGCAGUUAAGAGAAUUUUUAAAUACCUCAUUGGCACUCACAAUAUUGGCUUGUGGUAUCCAAAAUGUGAAUCAUUUAAUCUUGUUGGUUAUAGUGAUUCCGAUUUUGCUGGAAGUAGAUUGGAUAGAAAAAGUACUUCAGGUGCUUGUCAAUUUCUUGGCCUUGCAUUAGUUUCUUGGCACAGUAAGAAAC